This 492-nucleotide ribosomal RNA is filed under the name uncultured bacterium. RNAcentral describes it as "partial 16S ribosomal RNA". It matches the Rfam family "Bacterial small subunit ribosomal RNA", at positions 29 to 507 of the family's 1533-position model. The record is from RNAcentral.
AGUGAACGCUGGCGGUAGGCCUAACACAUGCAAGUCGAACGGCAGCACAGUAAGAGCUUGCUCUUACGGGUGGCGAGUGGCGGACGGGUGAGGAAUACAUCGGAAUCUACUUUUUCGUGGGGGAUAACGUAGGGAAACUUACGCUAAUACCGCAUACGACCUACGGGUGAAAGCAGGGGAUCUUCGGACCUUGCGCGAUUGAAUGAGCCGAUGUCGGAUUAGCUAGUUGGCGGGGUAAAGGCCCACCAAGGCGACGAUCCGGAGCUGGUCUGAGAGGAUGAUCAGCCACACUGGAACUGAGACACGGUCCAGACUCCUACGGGAGGCAGCAGUGGGGAAUAUUGGACAAUGGGCGCAAGCCUGAUCCAGCCAGACCGCGUGGGUGAAGAAGGCCUUCGGGUUGUAAAGCCCUUUUGUUGGGAAAGAAAAGCAGCAGGUUAAUACCCCGCUGUUCUGACGGUACCCAAAGAAUAAGCACCGGCUAACUUCGUG